RNAcentral lists this small RNA (29 nucleotides) under Bombyx mori (domestic silkworm). RNAcentral describes it as "piRNA piR-bmo-1898777". Lineage: Eukaryota; Metazoa; Arthropoda; Insecta; Lepidoptera; Bombycidae. The record is from RNAcentral.
UCAGCUGUUUCUGAAUCCAGUUGGUGUGG